Molecule: small RNA, 542 nt
Filed under: Pongo abelii (Sumatran orangutan)
Lineage: Eukaryota; Metazoa; Chordata; Mammalia; Primates; Hominidae
Description: retained intron
Source: RNAcentral
AGCUGCUCGCGGGAGCCGCCUCCCGACACCCGAGCCCCGCCGGCGCCUCGCGCUCCCGGCUCCCGGCUCCCUCCGCCUACCCCGCCCCUCGCCCCGCCGCCGAAGAGGCCCCGCUCCCGGGUCGGACGCCUGGGUCUGCCGGGAAGAGCGAUGAGAGGUGUCUGAAGGUGGCUAUUCACUGAGCGAUGGGGUUGGACUUGAAGGAAUGCCAAGAGAUGCUGCCCCCACCCCCUUAGGCCCGAGGGAUCAGGAGCUAUGGGGCCAGAGGCCCUGUCAUCUUUACUGCUGCUGCUCUUGGUGGCAAGUGGAGAUGCUGACAUGAAGGGACAUUUUGAUCCUGGUGAGGAGACUGAAUCAUGGGUCCCUGAGGGCCAAGGCUUGGGAGGUAGAGAGUUGGGGGCCUUGACUUGUUACAUGCCUGCUUUUUACUCAGCCAAGUGCCGCUAUGCCCUGGGCAUGCAGGACCGGACCAUCCCAGACAGUGACAUCUCUGCUUCCAGCUCCUGGUCAGAUUCCACUGCCGCCCGCCACAGCAGGUUGGA